CCUUACUGCUAUUGGGAUGGGACUAAGACAUGCUAGUCGAGCGCCUCCAAGCUAUGGUGGAGGCGCGGCGCACAGCUCGGUAAUACGUGGCUAACCUGCCCUUGGGACAAGGACAACCCCAGGAAACUGGGGCUAAUCCUUGAUAUGUGAGAACUCCUGGAAUGGACUCUCGCUAAAAGGGCGUCUAUACCAUGCUUUUAGGCGUCGCCCAAGGAGGGGGCCGCAGCCGAUCAGGUUGUUGGUGAGGCAAUGGCUUACCAAGCCUUUGACCGGUACGGGCCGUGAGAGCGGUAGCCCGGAGAUGGGCACUGAGACAAGGGCCCAGGCCCUACGGGGCGCAGCAGUCGCGAAAACUCACCAACUCACGAAAGUGUGAGUGGGUCAUCCCAAGUGCCAUCCGCUGAGGGUAGCUUUUCUCCAGUGUACAAAGCUGGGGGAAUAAGGAGAGGGCAAGACUGGUGUCAGCCGCCGCGGUAAUACCAGCUCUCCGAGUGGUGAGGACAUUUAUUGGGCCUAAAGCAUUCGUAGCCUGCUGGGCAAGUCCUCCGUUAAAUCCAACGAUCCAAUCGUUGGGCCGCGGGGGAUACUGUUCGGCUAGGGGGCGGGAGAGGCCGGCGGUAUUCUCGGGGUAGGGGUGAAAUCCUAUAAUCCCGGGAGGACCACCAGUGGCGAAGGCUGUCGGCUAGAACGCGCCCGACGGUGAGGGAUGAAAGCUGGGGGAGCGAACCGGAUUAGAUACCCGGGUAGUCCCAGCUGUAAACGAUGCAGGCUAGGUGUUGGCGCGGCUACGUGCCGCUCCAGUGCCGCAAGGAAGCCGUUAAGCCUGCCGCCUGGGAAGUACGGCCGCAAGGCUGAAACUUAAAGGAAUUGGCGGGGGAGCACCACAAGGGGUGAAGCUUGCGGUUU
Molecule: ribosomal RNA, 906 nt
Filed under: uncultured archaeon
Lineage: Archaea
Description: bacterial SSU rRNA
Rfam family: Archaeal small subunit ribosomal RNA
Source: RNAcentral